Ictidomys tridecemlineatus (thirteen-lined ground squirrel) is the source of this 932-nucleotide non-coding RNA. Lineage: Eukaryota; Metazoa; Chordata; Mammalia; Rodentia; Sciuridae. The record is from RefSeq and is a predicted model, not a curated record.
GCCGCCCAUUGGCUGGGGCCGAGCGCUGGGCACCAAUCGCGUGGGCCUCGCCCUCGCCCCGCCUUCCGCGGCCGUUUACAGAGACUGUUCCUCGCUGCGCAGGUUCGAGCCUCGCCUGCAACUGCUGAGAGGGUUCUGGUCGCUGAGCACAUCUGCCCGCCCUCUGCUGGCAAGAAGACCGAGGCCCGAAGGAAAGGAAAGACUUGCUCUCCGCUGCUUUUGCGCCGCGGAGGGACCUGGGGAUGGCUGUUGGGUUCGACCUCGCUCCCGGCCGGCUCCCAUUCCCCACGUCGCGGAGCCUUACCGGGCCACCAACACCAGCUGUGCCCCAGAAGCUGGGCCCCAUGCCCUGGUGUGCGGCACAGCUGAGCUUUGCUUCUGUACCCUCCUGCAGAAUCAUCGCUGCGGCCAGCUAAGGCACUGCCCACCUGUUCCUGCUGAUGUUAGAGACUAAACCGAUGGCACCGCUGAGCACGAACUGUCCUGCGGGGCCCUUCUCAUUCCACAUGUGCCAUGGAACUCAGAACUCAAAAUGGGUCUCCCGAGAUACUCAUGUUGGAAUCAGAAGAAAUUUGGUUAUCGUUUAGUUUACAACAUUUGUUAUAUACUGGAAGACAAAGGCCCAGAGAGGAGAAGCCAGUUACCCAAUAAGUGAGGAGCAGUCCAGUCCUGUGUCUCUCGGAGGGUUGUGGCGACAGCUACAGGUGACAAGAUUACACGUGCCUGAUUCUGUGUGGAGUUUCACAUGAGCUGAGACCUCGUGAGACUUACAGGAAGAGAGACAAUCAGAAAAUGUUCCUUCAACAGAUAUGAACAAAAAUCUUGCAAUUUUGACCAUCUGAAAAAGCUGCAGAUCAAGAAUAGACAACAGUCAAUUACUUAGGACCAGAAAAAUAAUUUACAGAUUAAACAGACUUCUUGCUUUUCCUUCA